This 110-nucleotide microRNA precursor is filed under the name Haemonchus contortus (barber pole worm). RNAcentral describes it as "microRNA hco-mir-5962 precursor". Lineage: Eukaryota; Metazoa; Nematoda; Chromadorea; Rhabditida; Trichostrongylidae. The record is from miRBase by way of RNAcentral.
GGUCUCAUUCGUCUACCUUAGCGCUCCGGGUGCAGCGCCCAUCGCAUCGGCUGAAGGAGACCCAGUGGGAUAGGCGCUGCACUCAGAGCGCCGAGGUAGAUCUGUCCCCC